GAUGAACGCUGGCGGCGUGCCUAAUACAUGCAAGUCGAACGCGCCGAGAAGGGUACUUGUUCCUUUCAACGCGAGUGGCGAACGGGUGAGUCACACGUAGGAAACCUACCCUUCAGCGGGGGAUAACCAUCGGAAACGAUGACUAAUACCGCAUAGUUGUUCCAGUCGCAUGACUGGAAUGGGAAAGGCGGCUUCGGCUGUCACUGAAGGAUGGUCCCGCGGUGCAUUAGCUAGACGGUGGGGUAACGGCCUACCGUGGCUUUGAUGCAUAGCCGACCCGGGAGGGUGAUCGGCCACAUUGGAACGGAGACACGGCCCAAAGUCCUGCGGGAGGCAGCAGUAGGGAAUCUGCCGCAAUGGACGCAAGUCUGACGGAGCAACGCCGCGUGUGUGAAGAAGGUCUUCGGAUCGUAAAGCACUGUUAUCAGAGAAGAAUAGCCUACAGCGUAACUGUUGUAGGUUUGACGGUAACUGAUCAGAAAGCCACGGCUAACUACGUG
This 500-nucleotide ribosomal RNA is filed under the name uncultured bacterium. RNAcentral describes it as "partial 16S ribosomal RNA". It matches the Rfam family "Bacterial small subunit ribosomal RNA", at positions 28 to 507 of the family's 1533-position model. The record is from RNAcentral.